AUUGAACGCUGGCGGCAUGCUUUACACAUGCAAGUCGAACGGCAGCGCGGGCUUCGGCCUGGCGGCGAGUGGCGAACGGGUGAGUAAUAUAUCGGAACGUACCCAAGAGUGGGGAUAACGUAGCGAAGUUACGCUAAUACCGCAUACGAUCUAAGGAUGAAAGCAGGGGAUCGCAAGACCUUGUGCUCCUGGAGCGGCCGAUAUCUGAUUAGCUAGUUGGUGGGGUAAAGGCCCACCAAGGCAACGAUCAGUAGCUGGUCUGAGAGGACGACCAGCCACACUGGAACUGAGACACGGUCCAGACUCCUACGGGAGGCAGCAGUGGGGAAUUUUGGACAAUGGGGGCAACCCUGAUCCAGCAAUGCCGCGUGAGUGAAGAAGGCCUUCGGGUUGGUUAAAGACGUCUUUUGUUCUAGGGAAGAAAGGUACGUGGCGUAAUAAUCCUACGACUGCUGACGGUACC
RNAcentral lists this ribosomal RNA (463 nucleotides) under uncultured bacterium. RNAcentral describes it as "bacterial SSU rRNA". It matches the Rfam family "Bacterial small subunit ribosomal RNA", at positions 30 to 479 of the family's 1533-position model. The record is from RNAcentral.